This 458-nucleotide ribosomal RNA is filed under the name uncultured bacterium. RNAcentral describes it as "SSU rRNA". It matches the Rfam family "Bacterial small subunit ribosomal RNA", at positions 26 to 518 of the family's 1533-position model. The record is from RNAcentral.
AGAAUCAACGCUGGCGGCGUGCCUAACACAUGCAAGUCGAACGAGAAAGUGGAGCAAUCCAUGAGUAAAGUGGCGACCGGGUGAGUAACACGUGACUAACCUACCCUACAGUGGGGGAUAACUCCGGGAAACCGGGGCUAAUACCGCAUAACAUCGUAAGAUCAAAGGAGCAAUUCGCUGAAGGAGGGGGUCGCGGCUGAUUAGUUAGUUGGUGAGGUAACGGCUCACCAAGACGAAGAUCAGUAGCCGGCCUGAGAGGGCGCACGGCCACACUGGAACUGAAACACGGUCCAGACUCCUACGGGAGGCAGCAGUGGGAAUUUUGCGCAAUGGGGGAAACCCUGACGCAGCAACGCCGCGUGGAGGAUGAAGUCCCUUGGGAUGUAAACUCUUUCGAUCGGGACGAUUAUGACGGUACCGGAAGAAGAAGCACCGGCUAACUCUGCGCCAGCAGCCGC